UGCGGAGUGGAGCAGUUGGCAGCUCGUUGGGCUCAUAACCCAAAGGUCGUCAGUUCGAGUCUGGCCUCCGCAA
Molecule: transfer RNA, 73 nt
Filed under: Paludibacteraceae bacterium
Lineage: Bacteria; Pseudomonadati; Bacteroidota; Bacteroidia; Bacteroidales; Paludibacteraceae
Description: tRNA-Met
Rfam family: tRNA
About the family: Transfer RNA (tRNA) molecules are approximately 80 nucleotides in length. Their secondary structure includes four short double-helical elements and three loops (D, anti-codon, and T loops). Further hydrogen bonds mediate the characteristic L-shaped molecular structure. tRNAs have two regions of fundamental functional importance: the anti-codon, which is responsible for specific mRNA codon recognition, and the 3' end, to which the tRNAs corresponding amino acid is attached (by aminoacyl-tRNA synthetases). tRNAs cope with the degeneracy of the genetic code in two manners: having more than one tRNA (with a specific anti-codon) for a particular amino acid; and 'wobble' base-pairing, i.e. permitting non-standard base-pairing at the 3rd anti-codon position.
Source: RNAcentral